GGGGAUUUAGCUCAGUGGCAUAAGCACCUGCCUUAUAAGCAGGAGGUCGUGAGUUCGAUCCCCG
This 64-nucleotide transfer RNA is filed under the name Cavia porcellus (domestic guinea pig). It matches the Rfam family "tRNA", at positions 1 to 62 of the family's 71-position model. From Rfam's summary of the family: Transfer RNA (tRNA) molecules are approximately 80 nucleotides in length. Lineage: Eukaryota; Metazoa; Chordata; Mammalia; Rodentia; Caviidae. The record is from Rfam by way of RNAcentral.